Molecule: long non-coding RNA, 833 nt
Organism: Oreochromis niloticus (Nile tilapia)
Lineage: Eukaryota; Metazoa; Chordata; Actinopteri; Cichliformes; Cichlidae
Exons: 4
Source: RefSeq, a predicted model, not a curated record
UGAGGUGUGGUUUUGCAUAUAAAAAGUAGCAGGUGACAGGUGAGUCAGUGGAUCAAAUUGCCAGCACACAGUUUCACUGAACUUACAGUGUGUGAAGUUUGAAGUUUGGAAAUGUCUGAUAAGGGAAGAGGAGGACCAAGUGGGCAAGGAAAAGGCAGUGGCGGACAAGGUGGUGGUAGUGACUUAAGCUGCAGUACUGGCCUUGGCGGAUGUGCACUUGGCGGAAAAGGUGGUGACAGCAACAAUGGGUUUGGCUGCACUAUUAGCCUUGCCGAAUGUGGAUUUGGCAGACAAGGUGGCAGCAGUGGCGGAAAAGGUGUUGGCAGCGGUGGACAAGGUGUUGGCAGCGGUGGAAAUAAAAAGAAAUGACUCCAGCAGCUCCUGCAGCAGUGACUCUGACUAGAUGAACAUUUGUGGAGGGACCUGCAUGGCAACAUUACUAUCUUAUCCUUUACUUAAAAAUUGUUUGACAAAUAUAAGAAAAAAUAAGUUAAAUAUAAAUAAUGUGUAAAACAGAAGGCUGAUUCACAUAUUUAGAAAAGCGGCACCUUAAAGCAAAGCCUGUUUCAGUGUCUCUUUUGCUUUUAAUUGGAACGUAAUUUUAAAGUCACCAUAAAGACACCUGGAAAGUGUUUACUGAGAUCAUUUGUCAGAAGCAGGUAUAUUUUUGAAAAUGUGCCAAUAAAAUUCUUUUGCAGCCAGCUGCCCCCUGCUGGUCAUCAAAGAGAAUGUUUUUUGUCGUUUUCUUUUUUUAGCAUUGAAAUAAUCCAGAUUUGUGCAAACACAUAAUCAGCCUUCACCAUAUGUUUACUUGGCAAUGAAACAAUAAAUAU